Molecule: ribosomal RNA, 253 nt
Filed under: uncultured bacterium
Lineage: Bacteria
Description: partial 16S ribosomal RNA
Rfam family: Bacterial small subunit ribosomal RNA
Source: RNAcentral
UACGUAGGGAGCAAGCGUUGUCCGGAAUCAUUGGGCGUAAAGCGCGCGUAGGUGGCCACAUAAGUCCGUUGUGAAAGUCAAAGGCUCAACCUUUGAAAGCCGAUGGAUACUGUGUGGCUAGAGUACGGAAGAGGCGAGUGGAAUUCCUGGUGUAGCGGUGGAAUGCGUAGAUAUCAGGAGGAACACCGGUGGCGAAGGCGGCCUUCUGGACGGCUGCUGACGCUGAGACGCGAAAGCGUGGGGAGCAAACAGG